This 801-nucleotide ribosomal RNA is filed under the name Lipinia vittigera. RNAcentral's name for it is "partial 16S rRNA". It matches the Rfam family "Bacterial large subunit ribosomal RNA", at positions 1416 to 2594 of the family's 2925-position model. The record is from RNAcentral. Lineage: Eukaryota; Metazoa; Chordata; Lepidosauria; Squamata; Scincidae.
CAAAGCACAAAUAAACAAAAAUAUCACACUAAUAUGCAAACUCCUAAAACACACUGAGCUACGCUAUAACUAUAGCCGAACUAAUGCUAAAACUAGUAACAAGAUUAAUUCUCUACGACACACCCUUGGCCCAGUAUAGAACACCUACUGAUAAUUAACAGACCAAAUAAACACAACAUACUACACUGUUAUUUAAACUGUCAAACCAACACAGGCGUGUCACAAAGAAAGAUAAAUAGCUAUAGAAGGAACUCAGCAAACCUUAUCCCAACUGUUUACCAAAAACAUAGCCUUUAGCACCACAAGCAUUAAAGGUCCUGCCUGCCCAGUGAACCUGUUUAAACGGCCGCGGUAUUCUAACCGUGCAAAGGUAGCGUAAUCACUUGUCUUCUAAAUAAAGACCAGUAUGAACGGCUAAAUGAGGAUAAACCUGUCUCCUAUAGCCCAUCAGUGAAACUGAUCUUUCAGUCCAAAAGCUGGAAUAAUAACACAAGACGAGAAGACCCUGUGGAGCUUUAAGUCACCUACUAAUUAAAAACUAGUAAAAACUUUAAGUUGGGGCGACUUCGGAACAAAGAAAAACUUCCGAGCACAUGAACCACCACUUCAACCCAAGGCCAACAAGCCGAAGUACCAAAUGACCCAGUCACACUGAUUAACGAACCAAGUUACCCCAGGGAUAACAGCGCUAUCUUCUUUAAGAGUCCCUAUCGACAAGAAGGUUUACGACCUCGAUGUUGGAUCAGGACACCCUAAUGGUGCAGCCGCUAUUAAAGGUUCGUUUGUUCAACGAUUAAUAGU